AGGGAGAAGAACAAGAGGAAAAAGG
This 25-nucleotide small RNA is filed under the name Bombyx mori (domestic silkworm). RNAcentral's name for it is "ovarian small RNA-12214". Lineage: Eukaryota; Metazoa; Arthropoda; Insecta; Lepidoptera; Bombycidae. The record is from RNAcentral.